CUACGGGCCGCUCCAGUGAGGAAUUUUGCGCAAUGGGGGAAACCCUGACGCAGCAACGCCGCGUGAGCGAAGAAGGCCCUCGGGUCGUAAAGCUCUGUCAAGUGGGAAAAAAAUUUUUUGAUCAAUAGUCAAAAGACUUGAUGGUACCACUGGAGGAAGCACCGGCUAACUCCGUGCCAGCAGCCGCGGUAAUACGGAGGGUGCAAGCGUUGUUCGGAUUUAGUGGGCGUAAAGAGCGUGUAGGCGGUUUAGCAAGGCAGAUGUGAAAGCCCUGGGCUCAACCCGGGAAGUGCAUUUGAAACUGCUUCACUAGAGUAUGGGAGAGGAGAUUGGAAUUCCUGGUGUAGAGGUGAAAUUCGUAGAUAUCAGGAGGAACACCCGUGGCGAAGGCGAUUCUCUGGACCAAUACUGACGCUGAGACGCGAAAGCGUGGGGAGCAAACAGGAUUAGAUACCCGCGUAGUC
Molecule: ribosomal RNA, 464 nt
Filed under: uncultured bacterium
Lineage: Bacteria
Description: partial 16S ribosomal RNA
Rfam family: Bacterial small subunit ribosomal RNA
Source: RNAcentral